AUUGAACGCUGGCGGCAGGCCUAACACAUGCAAGUCGAGCGGAUGAAGGGAGCUUGCUCCUGGAUUCAGCGGCGGACGGGUGAGUAAUGCCUAGGAAUCUGCCUGGUAGUGGGGGAUAACGUCCGGAAACGGGCGCUAAUACCGCAUACGUCCUGAGGGAGAAAGUGGGGGAUCUUCGGACCUCACGCUAUCAGAUGAGCCUAGGUCGGAUUAGCUAGUUGGUGGGGUAAAGGCCUACCAAGGCGACGAUCCGUAACUGGUCUGAGAGGAUGAUCAGUCACACUGGAACUGAGACACGGUCCAGACUCCUACGGGAGGCAGCAGUGGGGAAUAUUGGACAAUGGGCGAAAGCCUGAUCCAGCCAUGCCGCGUGUGUAAAGAAGGUCUUCGGAUUGUAAAGCACUUUAAGUUGGGAGGAAGGGCAGUAAGUUAAUACCUUGCUGUUUUGACGUUACCAACGGAAUAAGCACCGGCUAACUUCGUG
This 484-nucleotide ribosomal RNA is filed under the name uncultured bacterium. RNAcentral's name for it is "partial 16S ribosomal RNA". It matches the Rfam family "Bacterial small subunit ribosomal RNA", at positions 30 to 507 of the family's 1533-position model. The record is from RNAcentral.